This 340-nucleotide ribosomal RNA is filed under the name uncultured soil bacterium. Its description in RNAcentral is "bacterial SSU rRNA". It matches the Rfam family "Bacterial small subunit ribosomal RNA", at positions 26 to 394 of the family's 1533-position model. The record is from RNAcentral.
AGAACGAACGCUGGCGGCAUGCCUAAUACAUGCAAGUCGAACGAACACUUCGGUGUUAGUGGCGCACGGGUGCGUAACGCGUGGGAAUCUGCCCUUGGGUUCGGAAUAACAGUUGGAAACGACUGCUAAUACCGGAUGAUAUCGAAAGAUCAAAGAUUUAUCGCCCAGGGAUGAGCCCGCGUAGGAUUAGCUAGUUGGUGAGGUAAAGGCUCACGAAGGCGACGAUCCUUAGCUGGUCUGAGAGGAUGAUCAGCCACACUGGGACUGAGACACGCCCAGACCUCCGACGGGAGCAGCGAGAGGAAUAGUGGACAAGUGGGCGCAAGCCUGACUCCAGCAA